Molecule: ribosomal RNA, 252 nt
Filed under: uncultured bacterium
Lineage: Bacteria
Description: partial 16S ribosomal RNA
Rfam family: Bacterial small subunit ribosomal RNA
Source: RNAcentral
UACGUAUGGUGCAAGCGUUAUCCGGAUUUACUGGGCGUAAAGGGAGCGCAGGCGGCGCGCCAAGUCUGAUGUGAAACCCCGGGCUCAACCCCGGGCAUGCAUUGGAAACUGGCGGGCUGGAGUGCCGGAGAGGUAAGCGGAAUUCCUAGUGUAGCGGUGAAAUGCGUAGAUAUUAGGAGGAACACCAGUGGCGAAGGCGGCUUACUGGACGGCAACUGACGCUGAGGCUCGAAAGCGUGGGGAGCAAACAGG